This 206-nucleotide ribosomal RNA is filed under the name uncultured bacterium. RNAcentral describes it as "partial 16S ribosomal RNA". It matches the Rfam family "Bacterial small subunit ribosomal RNA", at positions 568 to 774 of the family's 1533-position model. The record is from RNAcentral.
CGUUGAGGCGGUUUCGUAAGUUGGACGUUAAAGCCCCGGGCUCAACUCGGGGAGGCCGUUCAAUACUGCGAGACUUGAGGACAGCAGAAGGGGGUGGAAUUUCCGGUGUAGUGGUGAAAUGCGUAGAUAUCGGAAGGAACACCAGUGGCGAAGGCGGCCCCCUGGGCUGUUCCUGACGCUGAAGGCGAAAGCUAGGGGAGCGAACG